Dermacentor andersoni is the source of this 103-nucleotide non-coding RNA. Lineage: Eukaryota; Metazoa; Arthropoda; Arachnida; Ixodida; Ixodidae. The record is from RefSeq and is a predicted model, not a curated record.
GCACUUACAAGGUACAUAUACUAAAAUUGGAACGAUACAAAGCAGAUUCGCAUGGCCCCUGCACAAGGAUGGCACACAGAAACGCGAAGCGUUCCAGAUGCGC